GCAGCUGGUGUCUUGCAGCCUGGCACAAGUGUGGGUAUGGCCUGCAAAGGGCAGCAGGGAAGGCAGGGGGCUCAUCUGCGCCCCUGCGCCCACAGAGUACCUUUCACUGCGCGCGGCUGGCCGCAGGGGCUGGACUGCAGCUGGUGGACGCUGUGCUCACUGGAGCUGUGCAAAAUGGGCUUGCCCUGGUGAGGCCUCCCGGGCACCAUGGCCAGAGGGCGGCUGCCAACGGGUUCUGUGUGUUCAACAACGUGGCCAUAGCAGCUGCACAUGCCAAGCAGAAACACGGGCUACACAGGAUCCUCGUCGUGGACUGGGAUGUGCACCAUGGCCAGGGGAUCCAGUAUCUCUUUGAGGAUGACCCCAGGUGAGCAGGGGUGCGGAAACCACCCUUCCCUGCAGCCCCAGUUUUUGGGUGCACAGCCUGGCCUGGGAAAAUCCAGGGGUGAGAUACAGACAUGUGCUCAGGGGUCAGCGUUCUACAGGGAGCUGUAGAGCUGUUGAGGGUCCUGACCUUUGACCUCUGGCCCUGGCUGGCUGUUGGCAGCGUCCUUUACUUCUCCUGGCACCGCUAUGAGCAUGGGCGCUUCUGGCCUUUCCUGCGAGAGUCAGAUGCAGACGCAGUGGGGCGGGGACAGGGCCUCGGCUUCACUGUCAACCUGCCCUGGAACCAGGUGCCCACCCUCAAGCCCCAGGUCCCCACCCAGCCCCCUCC
Molecule: long non-coding RNA, 715 nt
Filed under: Homo sapiens (human)
Lineage: Eukaryota; Metazoa; Chordata; Mammalia; Primates; Hominidae
Description: non-protein coding lnc-TUBGCP6-2:1
Source: RNAcentral